This 74-nucleotide transfer RNA is filed under the name Euryarchaeota archaeon ADurb.Bin294. RNAcentral's name for it is "tRNA-Arg". It matches the Rfam family "tRNA". Rfam says of the family: Transfer RNA (tRNA) molecules are approximately 80 nucleotides in length. The record is from RNAcentral. Lineage: Archaea; Methanobacteriati; Methanobacteriota.
UGCCCCGGUAGGGUAGAGGAUAUCCUUGGAGCCUCCGGAGCUUUAGACCUGGGUUCAAGUCCCAGCCGGGGCGU